UGGGGAAUAUUGGACAAUGGGCGCAAGCCUGAUCCAGCCAUGCCGCGUGUGUGAAGAAGGCCUUAUGGUUGUAAGGCACUUUAAGCGAGGAGGAGGCUACUUUAGUUAAUACCUAGAGAUAGUGGACGUUACUCGCAGAAUAAGCACCGGCUAACUCUGUGCCAGCAGCCGCGGUAAUACAGAGGGUGCAAGCGUUAAUCGGAUUUACUGGGCGUAAAGCGCGCGUAGGCGGCUAAUUAAGUCAAAUGUGAAAUCCCCGAGCUUAACUUGGGAAUUGCAUUCGAUACUGGUUAGCUAGANUGUGGGAGAGGAUGGUAGAAUUCCAGGUGUAGCGGUGAAAUGCGUAGAGAUCUGGAGGAAUACCGAUGGCGAAGGCAGCCAUCUGGCCUAACACUGACGCUGAGGUGCGAAAGCAUGGGGAGCAAACAGGAUUAGAUACCCUGGUAGUCCAUGCCGUAAAACGAUGUCUACUAGCCGUUGGGGCCUUUGAGGCUUUAGUGGCGCAGCUAACGCGAUAAGUAGA
Molecule: ribosomal RNA, 523 nt
Filed under: uncultured bacterium
Lineage: Bacteria
Description: partial 16S ribosomal RNA
Rfam family: Bacterial small subunit ribosomal RNA
Source: RNAcentral